Molecule: transfer RNA, 72 nt
Filed under: Camelus bactrianus (Bactrian camel)
Lineage: Eukaryota; Metazoa; Chordata; Mammalia; Artiodactyla; Camelidae
Also listed under: 2 other names
Rfam family: tRNA
About the family: Transfer RNA (tRNA) molecules are approximately 80 nucleotides in length. Their secondary structure includes four short double-helical elements and three loops (D, anti-codon, and T loops).
Source: Rfam by way of RNAcentral
GAGGGUAUAGCUCAGUGGUAGAGUGUGCAUUUAGCAUGCACGAGGUCCUGGGUUCGACCCCCGGCACCUCCA